Molecule: ribosomal RNA, 229 nt
Filed under: uncultured bacterium
Lineage: Bacteria
Description: partial 16S ribosomal RNA
Rfam family: Bacterial small subunit ribosomal RNA
Source: RNAcentral
UCCGUAGGCGGGCAGCUAAGUCAGUGGUGAAAGUCUGUAGCUCAACUGUAGAAUUGCCAUUGAUACUGGUUGUCUUGAAUUAUUAUGAAGUGGUUAGAAUAUGUAGUGUAGCGGUGAAAUGCAUAGAUAUUACAUAGAAUACCAAUUGCGAAGGCAGAUCACUAAUAAUAUAUUGACGCUGAUGGACGAAAGCGUGGGGAGCGAACAGGAUUAGAUACCCUGGUAGUCC